RNAcentral lists this transfer RNA (66 nucleotides) under Holostephanus sp. FJ-2023. Its description in RNAcentral is "tRNA-Trp". It matches the Rfam family "tRNA". From Rfam's summary of the family: Transfer RNA (tRNA) molecules are approximately 80 nucleotides in length. The record is from RNAcentral. Lineage: Eukaryota; Metazoa; Platyhelminthes; Trematoda; Diplostomida; Cyathocotylidae.
AGUGAGAUAGGUUAAUUGAUUGACUGUCUGUUUUCAAAACAGGAGGUGGCGUAGAGUUUCUCACUG